CAUGCAGGCGGCCAUUCAAGUCUGACGUGAAAGCUCCUGGCUUAACUGGGAGAGGUCGUUGGAAACUGAGUGGCUUGAGGCAAUGAGAGGGGUGCGGAAUUCCAGGUGUAGUGGUGGAAUGCGUAGAUAUCUGGAGGAACAUCAGUGGCGAAAGCGGCACCCUGGCAUUGACCUGACGCUCAUAUGCGAAAGCGUGGGGAGCGAACG
Molecule: ribosomal RNA, 207 nt
Filed under: uncultured bacterium
Lineage: Bacteria
Description: partial 16S ribosomal RNA
Rfam family: Bacterial small subunit ribosomal RNA
Source: RNAcentral